RNAcentral lists this ribosomal RNA (468 nucleotides) under uncultured bacterium. Its description in RNAcentral is "partial 16S ribosomal RNA". It matches the Rfam family "Bacterial small subunit ribosomal RNA", at positions 28 to 507 of the family's 1533-position model. The record is from RNAcentral.
GAUGAACGCUGGCGGCGUGCUUAACACAUGCAAGUCGAACGGUGAAGGCGGAGCUUGCUCUGCUGGAUCAGUGGCGAACGGGUGAGUAACACGUGAGCAAUCUGCCCCUGACUCUGGGAUAAGCGCUGGAAACGGCGUCUAAUACUGGAUACGAGCUGCGAAGGCAUCUUCAGCAGCUGGAAAGAAUUUCGGUCAGGGAUGAGCUCGCGGCCUAUCAGCUUGUUGGUGAGGUAAUGGCUCACCAAGGCGUCGACGGGUAGCCGGCCUGAGAGGGUGACCGGCCACACUGGGACUGAGACACGGCCCAGACUCCUACGGGAGGCAGCAGUGGGGAAUAUUGCACAAUGGGCGAAAGCCUGAUGCAGCAACGCCGCGUGAGGGACGACGGCCUUCGGGUUGUAAACCUCUUUUAGCAGGGAAGAAGCGAAAGUGACGGUAGCUGCAGAAAAAGCGCCGGCUAACUACGUG